This is a long non-coding RNA of Lethenteron reissneri (Far Eastern brook lamprey), 1173 nucleotides long. RefSeq lists it as uncharacterized. NCBI's taxonomy places the organism in Eukaryota, Metazoa, Chordata, Hyperoartia, Petromyzontiformes, Petromyzontidae. The record is from RefSeq and is a predicted model, not a curated record.
AAAUUGCAGGAUCGUGAAACGUUGCGGCGGCGAGGAGAGGCCUUCAUGCAGCACUGGAAUGAGCAUGGCUGCUGCUGGUUAACUAUUCACUCUUUUCUUUCAGACGUGACCUGGCCAAAAAACGAGAGCUCAACGAAUUGGCUCAUCGUGCGGAAAUGUUUAGCGGCCAAGUGCUCUAAACGCGCGUUGCCAAACGUGGAGACCCCGAAGGACCCGGGGACAAAAUCCACGCGCAGAGAGAGACGCGCAGACUCCAGACGUCCACAGCGGCAGGCGUCAGGGUCGGGAUCGAACCCACGAACCUCCUGCACACCAGGCGAGACGCAACCUGCCCAUCACAAAUGAGAGCUCAACCACGUGGCCCAUCGCAAAACCCCAACCACGUGCUCGUCAUGCUGGGUGGUGGGGGGGCGUCUCUUCUAGUGCGAGGCCCCUGGGGGGGGGUGGUGGCAAGUCGGCUCCUGCGUGGGCUCUGCCUGGGGGCGAUGCCCCCCCCCCUCGUGGAGGCCUUCUGAGAAUGGCGUCUAACCAGCAGCAUCGGUUCCACGCGAGCACAACGACAGGGGCGGCCAACGCCGGUGAGCUGCCGGACGUGGGUCGGCGAGGUGCCCUCUCUGUGUGUCUACGACCAGCGGAAACAAGAAGACACUCGCUGGAGUCGGCACUCUGCUUCGUUCAUCACCCUUCUCGCAGCCCGACGGCCUCCGACGGGUAGCUCAUAUCAGCAUGCAGAGCUCCCCGUCAUCUGCCACCGAGCACACGGCCUCCUCCAUCACCCACUGCUCCUUGAAGGCCGGCACGGCGUGGGCCUGUGUGAGACAUGGGUCAGGGUUGGACUCAUAAUCACGCGGCUGGGACUCGGCGACGACGCCCCGGGUCAGCACUCUGCCUCGCUGAUGCCGCGACUGGCGCAGGACGGACGCCAAGAGGCCGAUCCUGGGGCUCCAGGGUCAGGGAGAGGGAGGAGGGGGGGGUCUUACCCCCUCGCCGGAGUCGCGUAUCCCCACGGACCCCCAGGAGCCCCCUUGGGGAGAGAAGGGUGCGCAGGGAUGAGAUCACCGCGAGCGGGACAGCCCGCACCGCCUCCCCCCCCUGCCCGCCCGUCGCUGAUGUCCCAGUGGCCCCCAGAGGUCGCGCGGCCGAGGGGAGAAAGAGGGGAGAGAGAAGGGAGAU